UUUUUUUAUUUCCCCAAUACAUUAUUUUUUUCUACUGUACAGCAUGGUGACCCAGUUUCACACAUAUUUAUAUAUACAUUCUUUUUUCUCACAUUAUCAUGCUUCAUCAUAAGUGACUAGACAUAGUUCCCAGUGCUACACAGCAGGAUCUUAUUGCUAAUCCAUUGCAAAAGCAAUAGUCUGCAUCUAUUAACCCCAAGCACCCAAUCCAUCCCACUCCCUCCCCCUCCUCUUUGGCAACCACAAGUCUAUUCUCCAAGUCCAUGAUUUUCUUUUCUGUGGAAAGGUUCAUUUGUGCCUUAUAUUAGAUUCCAGAUAUAAGUGAUAUCAAAUGGUAUUUGUCUUUCUCUUUCUGACUUACUUCACUCAGGAUGAGAGUCUCUAGUUCCAUCUGUAUUGCUGCAAAUGGCAUGAUUUCAUUCUUUUUUAUGGCUGAGUAGUAUUCCAUUGUGUAUAUAUACCACAUCUUCUUAAUCCAUUCAUCUGUCGGUGCACAUUUAGGUUGCUUCCAUGUCUUGGCUGUUGUGAAUAGUGCUGCAAUGAACAUGCGGGUGCAUGUGUCUUUUUUAAGGAAAGUUUUGUCCGGAUAUAUGCCCAAGAGUGGAAUUGCUGGGUCAUAUGGUAGUUCUAUGUAUAGUUUUCUAAGGUACCUCCAUACUGUUCUCUAUAGUGGCUGUACAAGCUUACAUGCCCACCAACAGUGCAGGAGGGUUCCCUUUUUUUAAUUUUUAAAAUAAAUUUUGUUGGAGUAGAAUUGACAUACGAAGUUGUGUUAGUUUCAGACAUACAGCAUAUAAAUCAGUCAUAUGUAUACAUAUAGCCAUUUCUUUUAAAAUUCUUUUCCAAUAUAGGAUAUUAGACAGUAUUCAGUAGACUGCCCUGUGCUAUAGAGUAGGUCCUUGUUACCCAUCCAUCGUAUAUACAGUAGUGUGUAUAUGUCAACCUCAGCCCCCCAUCCUUGUCACUUUUAUGUGAGGAUGUCUGCGGACACUCUUUCUUCUGCUGCCUCUCUCUCUGUGUCAUGCCCCUUUCCCAUCUUCCUUGGUGCACAUUUACCUAGAUGCUCCUCCAUCCCCCCUUUGGCAAUUUUGAAAGUUGAAUGGCCAAUUUCUGGUCAUUUGAUCCUCCAUGAAAUGCAAUCUCCAUCUUGCUUGUAAUCUUCUAGAACACUAAGUCUAGCUCCAAUAAGUCAAAUUCAGCUUUUCUCCAACCGUAUUACAAGUGGUUAUUCACUUUCUCACCCUCCUUUCUCCUCCAAAGGCAAGAAAGUCAACUAUCAGAGAAUAAGAAAAGAUCACCUCCAUGCAAAUGAAAGUAAGCAUGUGGACCAGAUUAUUAAAAGACUGGCAUGAGAAUGCACAAGAAAAGCAGCAGGUAUCUCUGGAAGCUGAAGUUGGCACAGAUUCACCAGGAAAUGCAUGCCAGACUCACCUCUAUUAGAUAAGUGUAGCUGGCCUGGCAGUUUUGGACUGCAACAGAACAUAUGACUAAGACUCUCGUGACACUUUUAUGGACAAGCUAUAUUGGGUUAGAUAAGAACAUAAUUAGAUAUUGUCAUGCCUGGCUGGACAACGUUAAUAAAAACUUUAUAACUGAUGGGGUGUUUGGUAGCUCUGUUUUCACGAACUUCCAUAAAGCUGCCCAAGACAAGCAUAUCAAACUGGGGGUGACUGCAAGGAAUGCUGUCCAUAAAGUGAGGUUUUAAAGUGAUCUCUGUUUUAAAAACAACCAUCUGCAUCACCUAACAGCCAGUAAGAGGUCAGCAUCUCAGUGUGUAGCUUAUGGAGGGAAUACGGAGAACCUCUUCCAUGUUUACUUUACAUCCAAAUAAAAUGCAUGGUGCACCAGAAGUUUAAGGUCAAGUAUGAGUGUUUGGGCAAGCCAAUAACACUAACACUUCCAAUCAUGUAACCUAUUAUGGUGAGGAAUUCUGUGGAAUGCUCUUCCAGCUUGGAGCGGCCUCAGGAGUUUUCACUGCCUUUAUUAUUUUAUAACUCUGCUUGUCACACUGAGGCUCUGGUGUGAGGAGUGAGGGGUCAAUAAACUAAUUAUGUACCCUCUGAUAUUCAGCCAUUUACAGGAGAAUCUUGCAUGUGUUGAGAUUUUACAAACAAUAAGAGCUUUAAAAUAUCAGCUUUAUGAAAAGUUAGAGUGAGAGCUGGCACAGAGCUUCCUUAGCUUUAUCAUAAUAUUCACAAUGGGAAAUCUUACUACAUGGUAGCAGAAAUAGGCUGGUUUUAUUCGGUGGGUAUACAGUCGGCCUUCUGUAUCCAUGGGUCUGGCAAAUACCUGCACAUUGGAAAUAUUUGGGGAAAAAAAAUUCCAGAAAGUUCCAAAAAGCAAAACUGGAAUUUGCUGCAUUCUGGCAACUCUUUAUGAAACAUUCACUUUGUAUUAAGUAUUAUAAGUAAUCUAGAGAUGAUUCAACAUGUACAGGAGCAUGUGUAUGGAUUAUAUACAAAUACUAUGCCAUUUUAUAUAGGGUACUUGAGUACCUGAGGAUUUUAACAUCCUGGGGGCAGGGUACCUGGAACCAAUCUCCCACAGACACAGAGGGGUGAAAUGGUUGGUAUAGAGUAAUAGAUAAAAUCCAUUCCAAAAUUUAUCUCAGUAGAGUGGAUAACACAAUGGUAUCAUCAAAGUAAUUUUGAAUUAUUUACAGUCUAUUCUUAAGUAUAUAAAUGACAGCAAUAUAAUCACAAUAGUAUAGUCUUAACAAAUUAACAUGAUCAAUCAUGACAUAAAUAACUGUAAGGUUUUACAUUUGGGUUUCCUAAAAAUAGUCAUUAAAGUAAAGAUUGAGAAAGACACAGCUUGAAAUGAAACAUUAAUCUGGAGGGAAAAAAAAAAACUUGGUAUAUUUUAAACUAUUCUAUGAACCCAAAGAACUGUGAGCUUACUAAAAGAGCAUGUACAAACUUAGUGCACAUAAAAAGGUGGAGUGGCCGGUCUAAGGGAAGAAAUGUCCCCACUGGGGUCUGACAGAUCCAGUGCACCCUUGGGCAGUCCAUGCCCUGACCUCCAAAUGCCCAUCAAAAGACUUCCAGAGCUCUGAGGAUUUCUAGGAACAUCAUCCAGGGUCGUUUUUAGUGCUAUAGAUAUCCCACUGGUGGCCUUGACACAGACUUUCAGGGUGUGGUGAAGACAGAGCUGGAUGGAAAUGGAUUCAAGAGAGAUUGGGGGGGAGGAAAAAAGUGGGUGCAUAUAUACAACUCUUUUGAGAAUAUUGUGAUAGCUGGAGGGAAAUGUCAAGUUAAUAAAAGAAUAUAUAUAUUCAAUAUUUACUAUAUCACAGUAUGUUUGUAUUAUGAAAAGAAUGUCUCACAGAAAUGACCCAACGUUGACAGCCUCGUCACUACCACCUAGACCCACACUUUCCACCACAGUAGCCACCAGUUACAUGUGGCCACUGAGCCCUCGGAAUGUGUCUGCUCUGAAGAGAGACAUACUUCAAGUGAAAAACAUACGCCAAAACCUGAAGACAAAGUAUAAAAAAGGAUGUCAAAUAUCUCAUUAAUAAAUUGUAUACUGAUUAUAUGUUAAAAUAAUAUUUUGCAUAUAUUGAGGAACAAAGAAUACAUAUAACUGAAAUUAAAUCCUCUUUUUUUUUAAUGUGGUUACAAAAAGUUUUAGAUUAUCUGUGUGGUUUGCAUGAUAUUUCUGUUGACUGCACUGAUUUAGACCAGCACAGCAAAUCUCACUGUGACUUUUGCUGCAUUUAUAUUAGUCACCCAAGAAGAUCACCCCUUCUCUCCCAUCAGCCUUGAACACCCCCAGUCUGAUCCUAUCUCCUGGCCUCCACAAACCCUGAUCUCUGUCAUGGUGACUCAUGGAACACAUGGCCCAUUAUUAGUCAAUUUUCUGCAUCCCUCAACUGUUCUUCAAACUUUUCCUUCACCUUCUUGCCCUAAUUCAGUGGUUCUCAAACUCAUCUGUGCAUAAGAACCACCUUGAGAGCUUUAAAUAGAUUGACGCCCAAGUCCCAUUAUCAGAAUGUUUAAUCAGAUCCUCUGCUGUGGGGAUAAGCCUUCUGAAUUUUUUAAUAGCUCACCCAGAUGAGUCUGAGGAGCACUUGGGCUGGAGAAUCACUCAUUAAACCAGAUCCAAUGAUCCACCUCCUCUAACACUGCCUCCAUGUUUGCAAACAUGGCUGGGGAAAAACACACAGCGUGUCGGCUGGUCUCCUUAAACACUAAUCCAGAGGGGAAUUAAAGGUGCCCAGCCCUCCUACCACUUUCCCCUUGUCCGUUCACUAUCUUUAUCUCCCAGAGAAACAUCCUUCUCCUCCAUCCUCACUCUCAGCCCAUGACUUUGCUUCCCAUUCAAGGGGGAAGGUAGAAGAAAUUAGUGAAGACCUCCCACAAAGCUCCCUCCACCACAUCCACCCACCUGCCUGCCUGAGAGUAGACACGUCUACCUAUAUAUACAUACAUCUGCCUUCCCUUGUUCCUGCAGCUCAGGCUGUCCAAAGAGAACUUUCUCAUCAAAUGUUCUAUGUUGGUAACCAUCCAGUACUGUAGUUUACCAGCCUCCUGCAGCUAUUAAGCACUUGAUAUCUGGCUAGCACAACUGAGGAACUACAUUUAUAAUUUUCUUUACUGUUAAAUUAAAUUAAAUAGAAAUAGCCACAUACGGCUAAUGGCGACUGUACUGGGUAAAAGAGGUAGACAUGCUGGUCCAAUCUAAGACCAGUUCCUUUACUUGUCUUCCUUGUACCAUUCCUACUCAGCUACUCCAGCACACUGUUUCAGCAGUUAUCCCCUCUCUGCUGCUUCAUCAAGUUUCCUUCCUUUCUGGAUCAUUCCCCUCAGCAAAAUAAUAUGUUGUCACAUCUUUCAUUAAAAUAAAAAAGCAUGAAACCAACUAUAAUGGAAAAAAUAAAAAUCAUUUUUUAAAAAUGUAAAAAACGAAACAAAACAAAACCCCUCUCGGUGUUUCCCUUUAGCCAUCACUUCAUUUCUUUGUCCUCUUUACAGCAAAACUCCUCAAAAGACUAUUUUUAUAAUUGCUGACGCAAGUUCCUCUCCCUGACUCACUUUUGAAUCCCCACCAAUCACACUUCUGUCUCCCCCACUCCCUGAACCAGCUUUUGUCAAUGUCACCAGUGACCUCUCCAUCCCUGCUGGUCUGCACCCCUGGGAACUUUCCAAGUGAAAUCCUCCCGACAAGGAGGGCAAGGAGGACAAGGAUCUUACUUAUGAGGCCUUUCUUGGGUCCCACAAAAUGAGUAGGUUUCUGCAUCCGCCCACGAGAACCUUAAAAGUUUAUAUAGAGGCCAUAAUGGGGUUCUGUCACUUACAC
This 5301-nucleotide long non-coding RNA is filed under the name Sus scrofa (pig). RNAcentral's name for it is "lncRNA (ENSSSCG00015080110.1)". The record is from RNAcentral. Lineage: Eukaryota; Metazoa; Chordata; Mammalia; Artiodactyla; Suidae.